AAAUAAAGAGAAAAGGUUCAAAACUUGUAAAUGAGAUUUUUCAAUUCAACAUUACCCUUUAUGGGAUCACUGUUCGUUUGAACCGCUUUAACUCCCGAUUGCUUAAGCAAAGGAAAGAAACUUCACAUUUUGAUAAGGAAACUUCUUCGUAGAUAAGCUUCAUAUAAAUAUACAAGAAAGCCUUAUAGAAGAAAGUUCUACAAGCGCUUAUAGAUUGAUACAAAAUGGUGGGCCUGGGAGGACUUGAACCUCCGACCUCACGCUUAUCAAGCGCGCGCUCUAACCAACUGAGCUACAAGCCCUCCGGGAUAAACCGGAAAACCUUCCCCGGCAUUAUCUUACGGAAAAGCUUUUUUAAAGCUCUUUUUCCUUAAAGCCCCUUUUCUUGCUGAAAGCCUAAGGGAGGGCUUUUAAAGAGACCGCCAGAAGGCUUGGGAUCAUCAUCUGAAGAAAAAGAGCUUUCCUUAAAGCUUUUGAUGAGAGCUUACUUGCGUAGACCGCCAGAAGGCUUGGGAUCAUCAUCUGAAGA
RNAcentral lists this unclassified non-coding RNA (529 nucleotides) under uncultured Bartonella sp. Its description in RNAcentral is "partial 16S-23S ribosomal RNA intergenic spacer". Lineage: Bacteria; Pseudomonadati; Pseudomonadota; Alphaproteobacteria; Hyphomicrobiales; Bartonellaceae. The record is from RNAcentral.